GUUUCAUUGUUGUUUCAUGUAAUCUGUGCUUGCCUUUGGAUUAGUUGGUGUGGAAGACUAUAGGCUUGAGUCAAUCCACCUUUUGCAGGUCUUAUGACAUUAACUUGCAAGGCAGUAGGCUGUAGCAUGGUUUCAUGUUCUAUUGUGGCUUCAUGGAGUAACAUAAUGAACAUUGCAUCUAGUGCAUUACAUUCCUUAUCAGGUUUAUGUCCAUGAUAAAUUUAGUAUUUACUUGAAUCUACUGUUUAUAUAUUAUUUUUCCUUUUUCCCUUUUAAGAUUUCCUUUCACUUUGACUCUUUGGAUAUUUUUUCAAGUCAUUGAACUUACCCUUUGUUUGUUAUGCUAAAUCUUCAUACAGGAAAAGAUAUCACAAUCGAUAAAAAAAAUGGGAUUUAUCAUAAUAAUCAACAUUUGUUAACAAAAUCAAUAUGUACAUUCUUAUUAUAGGGCUACUGCCUUCAGGGCCUUUUAUGACUAAUUUUGUUUUGGAAAUGCUUAACUUUUGGAAAAAAAAUUUUACUAGCUUCUGUAGCUUUCUUGUGAAACUUGUAGUAUAUUAGAAAAUAGGAAAAUUUUAUAGUUAUGGAUUUAGUAUUUACAUGGAGGUUAAGGCAUCUUCUUCCCAUAUGCUGUUAAGGGCAUUUUCUUUUAAAAUAA
Molecule: unclassified non-coding RNA, 658 nt
Filed under: Hevea brasiliensis (rubber tree)
Lineage: Eukaryota; Viridiplantae; Streptophyta; Magnoliopsida; Malpighiales; Euphorbiaceae
Source: RNAcentral